GGGUCAGUAGGUUGGUCGUGCCACCGGUACGUACUGGUCUCACUGAUUCCUCCUUCCUGAAGAACCGUAAUGCCAUUAAUUUGGUGUUGCGGGGAAACAGGACUGUUACUUUGAAAAAAUUAGAGUGUUUAAAGCAAGCUAGCGCUUGAAUACAUUAGCAUGGAAUAAUGGAAUAGGACGAUCGAUCCUAUUUUGUUGGUUUCUAGGAUUGACGUA
This 216-nucleotide ribosomal RNA is filed under the name Glomeromycotina sp. RNAcentral describes it as "partial small subunit ribosomal RNA". The stretch from base 40 to 216 matches the Rfam family "Eukaryotic small subunit ribosomal RNA", at positions 686 to 864 of the family's 1831-position model. Lineage: Eukaryota; Fungi; Glomeromycota. The record is from RNAcentral.